UCAUGCUGGAGUGCCGAGAGUGAGAAACGUUCCGGCGCUGUAGGAGGUGGCUGCGGCCGAUUAGGUAGAUGGUGGGGUAACGGCCCACCAUGCCGAUAAUCGGUACAGGUUGUGAGAGCAAGAGCCUGGAGACGGGUAUCUGAGACAAGAUACCGGGCCCUACGGGGCGCAGCAGGCGCGAAACCUUUACACUGCACGACAGUGCGAUAGGGGGACUCCGAGUGCGAGGGCAUAUAGCCCUCGCUUUUCUGUACCGUAAGGUUGGUACAGGAACAAGGACUGGGCAAGA
Molecule: ribosomal RNA, 289 nt
Filed under: halophilic archaeon
Lineage: Archaea; Methanobacteriati; Methanobacteriota; Halobacteria; Halobacteriales
Description: partial 16S ribosomal RNA
Rfam family: Archaeal small subunit ribosomal RNA
Source: RNAcentral